UUAAGAAUAGAUUAGUUGCUUAUUAAUUAAGCUGGUUAUGAUUAAGUUAAUUCUUAGAUAGGUUACUUAGUCCUCAAGCAACCAUGCACUUCCUUGACUCUCAAGAAAACUAUGUAAUAACUUGACCCUUAAGUAACUCCAAGUUACUUGACUCCCAAGCAACAUGUGUAUUUCCACUCGGGUAUAAAUACCCUAUUGCUAUCAUCAAUAAAGACUAAUCGUUCAUUCACUUUCAUUCAAUCUCGCUUUACUCUAACAGUUACAUUGGAGUGUUGGUGUCCAUAUGUGGUGUUCUCAUGAGCCUAUGUGGACGUCACGAUUAUCUGCAGAUACACACAUACAAGUAGCAAAACACACUCUUACAAACAGGCCCCGCCAAUGACCCAAAGCCUCGAGCCACCAUAACCCACCAUUCCUAUAGAGCUUAGCAACUUACUACCUCCGUCUCGGUUUACAAGUCCGACACAUGUACCU
This 474-nucleotide long non-coding RNA is filed under the name Hordeum vulgare. Its description in RNAcentral is "long non-coding RNA (HVUL_LNC008952)". Lineage: Eukaryota; Viridiplantae; Streptophyta; Magnoliopsida; Poales; Poaceae. The record is from RNAcentral.